This is a non-coding RNA of Anolis sagrei ordinatus, 1365 nucleotides long. The record is from RefSeq and is a predicted model, not a curated record. Lineage: Eukaryota; Metazoa; Chordata; Lepidosauria; Squamata; Anolidae.
UUUCCAGCUCGUAAACUGUGCGACGGUGGCAUUUCUCUGCCAAGAGAAGCUGUUCAAGCAUGCGCCGUAUUUCUUUUUGCCUAUUGUAGACCAACUGCAGCGGAGGAAGAAAGUUAAAAUGUCAGUCAUAACAAGCCACUUUCUAGGAGAAGAAGACACUGUGUUUUUAACCUUCACAAGAGACUUGAAAAAAUUGAGGAACUGACUGCUUACCAGAAACCACAGGCCUACAAUCCUGAUCAAGAGUUGGAGCAAGCAGUGGCCAGCUCAGGACAUUGCAACCUUUCUGAAUUCUCCCUGGCUGUUUUGGCAUGCAGUGCCAUCUCCUUCGGGCAUCUGGUGCGAAAAGGAGAACAUCAGCAUUCAUAGAUUUAAGGCCUGAGCCUAGAACACCAAAGAAUGCAAGAACAGAGUACAGUCGGUCUUCCACAUUCACAUCCAUGGAUUUUGAAUGUAUGGAUUCAACUAGAUUUGGAGAAAAAAAUCCAAAAAGGCUAUUUUAUGUUAGGAGUGCUAUUUUAUGAAGCUACUGUACACUAUAGGAUCUGAGCUUCUUCCGAUUUUGUCAUCCAUGGGAGUGGGGGUUCCAGCAAUCAAAUCCCUUGAAUGUAGCUCGGUUUCAUCUUUAGCAACUGAAGAAGCCAAGCACCUAGCUGUUUUACUAAUUUUAUAUUUUAGAACUGUUUCUAAAUGACUGGUGUUUGUGUGUAUGUGUGUGUGUAUGUAUAUACAUAUAUACACACAAACACAAACAGAGUCAAAGAGAAAUCAACUGCAUCCUUCUAGGAAACAGGACACAUUUGUUGGUUUGCUUUUUCAUCACACAUACAUAGAAUAUAUACUCUAUGCUAUUGGGUUGGGUUACGUAAACAGCUGUGUUGUGGUGAACCAAAGGGCAAUCAGUUAUUUCUUUAUUUUCUGCAGCAAAUUCAAGUUUUCACAUAGUACCUGCAUUACAUGUCACCAUGACUUGGUCACCUUUGUGAUAAAGUGCUCAACAAUUUGUAGUCACAAUAAUACAAAUGACAUUAGUUUCAAAUGUAGAUCUUUAUAGGAUACUUUUCAGUGCAUAUUUGCUCAGAAGUAUCUCAGGUGCCAGUAAGACUUAAUCCUGUGUUAAAUGUUUAUACAGUAAAGUCUUGCUUAUCCAACCUUCGCUCAUCCAAUGUUCUGUUUUAUCCAACACAGUCUGCCUCCCACCCGGAUCCACAGCAAUGUUUUGGUGCUAAAUUCGUAUAUACAGUAAUUACUACAUAAUGUUACCAUGUAUUGAAUUGCCUUUUCUGUUGAUUUGUUGUAAAACAUGAUGUUUUGGUGCUUAAUUUGUAAAAUCAUAAUGUAAUUUGACAUUUCAUAGGCUUUUCC